This 465-nucleotide ribosomal RNA is filed under the name Vreelandella stevensii. Its description in RNAcentral is "partial 16S ribosomal RNA". It matches the Rfam family "Bacterial small subunit ribosomal RNA", at positions 338 to 795 of the family's 1533-position model. The record is from RNAcentral. Lineage: Bacteria; Pseudomonadati; Pseudomonadota; Gammaproteobacteria; Oceanospirillales; Halomonadaceae.
CCUACGGGCGGCAGCAGUGGGGAAUAUUGGACAAUGGGCGAAAGCCUGAUCCAGCCAUGCCGCGUGUGUGAAGAAGGCCUUCGGGUUGUAAAGCACUUUCAGUGGGGAAGAAAGCCUUGGGGCUAAUACCCUCGAGGAAGGACAUCACCCACAGAAGAAGGACCGGCUAACUCCGUGCCAGCAGCCGCGGUAAUACGGAGGGUGCGAGCGUUAAUCGGAAUUACUGGGCGUAAAGCGCGCGUAGGCGGUCUGAUAAGCCGGUUGUGAAAGCCCCGGGCUCAACCUGGGAACGGCAUCCGGAACUGUCAGGCUUGAGUGCAGGAGAGGAAGGUAGAAUUCCCGGUGUAGCGGUGAAAUGCGUAGAGAUCGGGAGGAAUACCAGUGGCGAAGGCGGCCUUCUGGACUGACACUGACGCUGAGGUGCGAAAGCGUGGGUAGCAAACAGGAUUAGAUACCCUAGUAGUC